RNAcentral lists this ribosomal RNA (129 nucleotides) under Francisella tularensis. Its description in RNAcentral is "partial 23S ribosomal RNA". It matches the Rfam family "Bacterial large subunit ribosomal RNA", at positions 2799 to 2925 of the family's 2925-position model. Lineage: Bacteria; Pseudomonadati; Pseudomonadota; Gammaproteobacteria; Thiotrichales; Francisellaceae. The record is from RNAcentral.
UCAAGAUUAGAUCUCUCUGAUGAAAAUCAGUAAGGAACGUUGGAGACUACGACGUUGAUAGGCUGGGUGUGGAAGUACAGCAAUGUAUGAAGCUUACCAGUACUAAUGAUCCGAGAGACUUAAGUCUAU